AGGUUGAGAGUAUAUAAUGUGGAUAGAAUAGUAAAACAAGAUUAACAGAAUUAUAUAAUGUGGAUAGUUCAAGACUCAAGAAGUGUUGAGAAAAUCAUGUUCUUGCACAAGAAUGAUAAAACAGAAAACAUAGUAUACAAAGAAAAAGGAGACAAAUCUGAAUAGUUCAACAAAUAUACGCAACUGUUAACUUCUUUCAACUCAUGAUCUUGUAAUCUGUGUGAUAUCCUAACAUGUCAUGUACACAGCUUCCAUCAUCUCUGGGUCUUCAGGAUAUACCCUCACUACAUGUCUUCUGGUAAGGAUCAGUGUCUGGCAACUUGGCAAGGCUGGUACCAUUCGUAUAUUUUACGAUGAUUCGGCUCCUCGGUACUUAAUUCAUAUAACUGGCCUAAACUGUACCACCCUUCCGAUCUCCACGUCUACCUAGGAUAUCCACAAGGACAGCAGAAAUUAAUUAGCUUUCACUAAAUAUAGCAUUUUACUUAAAUUCAUUAAAAGAAAGAAGCCCAAAAUAUAACAACAUACACAAAAUGUUUUGUGUUUUAUUAAAAGCCAUCUGAACGAUCAAAUGGUAGACGGUGAAAACAAAGCAGAAAGCACAUGAUGUUAUUAAAGAAAAAAGUCAGGUAAAAGAUAAAACAUUUGCCAAAGUCUUCAAAGACGGAUCUGAUCCACGAACAUAGAAGUCAUGUACUCCUUAAUUUUUCCUUGGGGAUCGGUGUAACCUUCAUAUCCAUUGUAGCAGACGUGGAUCAUGCGUGCAAGAUCAAUGACUGCCUUAAGAACACAGUGUCGCACACCAGUUUUUGUCAAGAACUCUUCAUUUAUUAUCUUAUCAGCCUCUCCAACCAUUUUAUUAAGCUCCCUAAAAGCUUCAUUUUGGGAAACUCCAUAUUGCUUCAUAUAACAGCUGACAGCAUUGGUGACGUAUCCUCUACUAAUGUCAUCCUAAUUAAAAUAGUGUAUGUGUAAAUCGGGAUGCUAGAUAGAACAAGAAAGUAUACAUAUCCAAUAUGUGAAGAAAUGGUUUACGCAUAUGUACCUGGAAACCAGUUAUAUCAUCCAUAAGACGACCUUUGACACAUAAAGAUUGGACGAGUUUUGGUCUGGACUUUAGCCAUUCAAAAGCUUCUUUUGCAGCCAUCUUUCCCAUAGACAUGUAUCGACUUGCCAAAGUCGCAUACACUGCGACUUCCACCUCACUAACCUCCAUGUACUCCUCAAAGCUAGGCACGUGAUAAACUAGGCCCCACUUUGCGAGAUCAAAGUUGGCUUUCACAUGUGUCUUGAACUGCAUGCUCAAUAAUAUAAGAUCUGCGUUACGUUACAACACUAAAUGUAGUUUUCUAAAGUUAUUUUGAAAUAAUGAUAUACCCAUGACCUUUCUUUUCCUUGAAAUAUAAUCCUGCGAGUUCAGUUGAAAGUUAUUCCAAAGUCAUAUGACAGUAUAUUGAUAUACUACUAAUAAUAAAAAGAUGAGCCCUUUGUCUUGGGGAGAUAGUGAUGCAAGUUGGCAACCAAAGGCAAUAACUAAUGUUCUGGAAAAACAAAUGUACGAGGAAUAUUUGGUGUGUGUGGUGUUUGUGGCUUAACUUAAUUACUGAUCUCCGAAAGGAUAUUUGAGUAUUCGAGAAAAAAAGGAGAGACAAAAUGAAUAAAUGAAUAAAUGAAAAAUGUGAAUUUGUAUUUCCUUAAGCUUUUAUGAAAAACGUGAUUUUUCCCAUAACAAGUUAAAUAAUAUUCCCAUCUUAUCAAUUUCUACAUGGAUGUAAUUUAUUAAAUGAAAGAUAUAUUUUAUUUUAAAUUCUAGAGUUAGACUUAAAUUUUGUAAAAUUAUAUAUCCACAUAUAUCUCCUACAAAUAAUGUUUUAUGUAACAUUUAAAUUAAGGAUAAAACUGGAAUCAUGAAAAUUGUUGAUACUAUAUAUUUUUAAGAAUAACAUGUCACAUCACAGUAUUUUUCAAAAUUGUUUUUAAUUGACAAAUUAGCAUUAUUAUUAAGGAAAAAUAAUUAGUCAGAUUAGUUUAGUUUCUUAAGCGUAUUACCCUUGAUUGUUAUAUGCAUGCUUAUGUCCACGACUUAAUCAUACCAAUAAAGAAGAUAGUUUGAUUGAUUUACCACUUCCUUUGAGGCGUUCACGUUGUAUGAUCUUCCUUGUGGCCCAAGUUCUCUUUCAAACUCUUCGAAAGUAUCUAUCAUAAAGUUCAACACGAAUUUCAAAUAAUCAGGCUGUUUAUCCAUGGUAUGCUCGUGAGCCCACCUGUACAACAUCUUCAGCAUCAUCAUCAUCAUCAUCAUCAUCAUCACUAUAAUCAUUGUUUACUUAAUUUUUUGAUAGCCUUCAGCUUCCGGAAGAGAUGCAUAUCUGUCAAAUGUGUCAUCUAGAAUCACUAAAAUUGUGAAGUACUUAACCAUUAUAAUCCUUGCACGUGAUAAUUGUGGCUCAAAGCACAUCGCUUGUACAAAGAAAUGAUUUUCGACGAUUCUGUGUCUGAAGUAAGGUGGUAGCUUGGAUUCAAACUCUAGAUCAUUGUACCAUCUUGCAUCCAAAGUUAUAGGUAUUUGAUUAGAAUAGUUUCUGUAAAGAAUUUUAAUUCAAGUCCAUAUAAAUACCAUUAAUGUGAAGAUAUGUUACAUACUCUGCAAGGAUUUUGAGUUCGUGAAGGUAUUGGAGCUGUACUAACUUGAAACUGAUUUUAGCGAAUUUGAGUAGCAUCUCGUCAUGAUCUUUUUCUUGUUCAAAGAAUGAGAUAUAUUCCACUGGGAAUAACAUCUCCAUAUUCCAGUGCUGAGGUAGAGUACGUAAGAGCAUUUCGAAUACGUACUGAGAGAUGAGGAGGGCACGUUCCAUCAGCAGCCAGUGACUCCAAGUGUCUCGAUGUAAAUAUCAAUGCUUCGUCCAUUAUAUAAUCUUUUGUCGUCCGCAAAUAAGUCUUCAUACAAGCUCAACAUACCCUUGGCAUCUCCGACAAGAGAUUCUUUGAAAUUUCCGUUGUCCUUUGUGAAUCUCCUGAAUACAUCUAUUAAUCAAAAUGGAUCAAUUUGUUACACUUUAAAUAGUUAUAGACAACAAACACUUCUAGAAUCAAAAGCCUAGCUAGGUAAGAGUCUCAUUUACCGGAAGAUAUAUGGACCGUAUCUCCUAAAAACCCAGAAGAUGAUGGACACUGUGUACAAGUCAUUUUCACCUUCUAUCAUCUCCUCUUUCUUUUCGAAACCUUCUUUUAUAGUCUCAUCUAUCUCGUCCUCAAAGUGAUGUGCAAGGCCAAGGCUCACCAACAAAUAUAUCAUAAGAAUUCUCUUCUUUGCUGAAUCGAUCCCUUGGUAAGACAUGAGCGCCUUCUUCACUUUUGGCUUUAGUACAUCGAUUUCUUUCCUAAGCGCAUCAAUUUCCUACAAGUAAAACAUGCACGCAUGUGUUCACCUUCUCUAGCUAAUCAGUGUCCGCCAUCAGCUUAGAGCCUCUAAAUCCCUUAUAUAUUAAAAGAGAAGCAUCGUAAUAAAUGCAUUCACACUAUAAUAGACAUGUGACAGCCUCACAAUGAUUUGAUAAUAAGUAUGCUAAUGCGUUCACAUUAUCUACUUUGCGUUUUUUAAUAUAAUACUCACAUACAUGGUUUCAACAAAACUCUGCAUUUUUCGGUUGGAAUAAAAUAGAUAACGAAUCAAAAGCCAAACUAUAUAUAUAUUAUUUUUAUUGUUUACGGAUAAAGUUUAGCAAAAUAUUCAUAAAUUUUGAAUCGAUUCGUUAUCCGUUUUGAUUUGAACCAAAAAAUCUGGAUAUCCGUAACUCUUACGAAACAAAUCAAAUACUAAAAUACAAUAUCCAAAAAAGAAGCAAAUCACAAAUACCAAAUUUCUUAGGAACAUAUAUCUAAUUCGAUUUGUUAUAUGCAUAUAUAUACAUAUAUGUAAAGAAUUAUAUAUAUAUAUAUAUGUUAUAUAUAUUAUACUUUAUAUCAGUUUUACAAUAUUUUAUGAAUUAAAUUUAUUAUAUUAGGUACUAGAAUUUAAAAAAGUUAAAUAAUGUUUUAUUUUUGUAAUAAAAUGUUAUUAUUAAAAUUUUCAAUUAUUUUAAAAAUUUUAUUUUAUUUUAGAAGAAGGAGAGAAGUCGCGGAAGAGAUGAAAGCCCAAAGGGAGACACGUGUGUCGUAAGACCCGUCUCUUGUAACUCCUAAUUAAGAGACGUUUUUUCACAUUGAAGCCAAUUUCCUUUUUUUUUAAUCCUAAUAAUACUAAGAGACAGACUUAAGAAACAGCGUUGAUCAUGCUCUUAGUUUUUAUGCUCAAAAAUCUAUUUUCGUUAAUCCAAUUCAUUCACUACAUCUUCUUAUUGACGAGUGCUACUGAACACUAUCGAAUACAAUUAUAGAAAUGAUUCAAGAAACAAAAAGUCGCAUUUUCCAUUUUUUUUCUUGUUGGGUUGAAACACGAUCUUAAAAUUAUCUAGUCUACUAUAUAAACUAGUCAAGUGUUGUUGACUUCAUCUUCUAUAAAAUGGGAAACUAUACCGGCUACAAACAUGAGACCAUGCCCAAGAUCACGACAAUCUCAAAAAGAUAGAUCUGCCUGCACGAACUACCUAGUUGGCUAGUUUUCAUAUUAUCAAAGUAUUUGGAGGGUAGUUAAUUACUUGCUUCAGUGAAGACCAUAAGCCACCUAGAUCAUAAGCUCAGCUUUAGCUUCUGUUUAAACUGAAUAUCUGUAAACAACAUCAAGUGAUGGGUCAUUAGAGGAGUGAGAACUAAAGAAAGUGAUGAGGAUUUUUAAGGAGCUAGAGAAUUUUUUUUUUUUUUUUUGAAUGAAUGUUAAAUUUAUUCAUCAAAAAGUCUGUAUACAUCCAAGUACAUCCUUUAUACUCUAGGAGCUAUACUCAAAAUUUAACCAACACUUCAAAACAAAUAAAGCUAAUUACAAUCUAGUUUGGAACCAAAACUGCAUCAGCUCAUCAGAACCAAAAAGGUUACACCUUUAACCAUUUGCUCCCACACCUGCCUCGUGUAGGAACAUUCGAAAAACAAAUGGUCUCUUGACUCAGUAGCAGAUUUACAGAGUAGACAGGUUGAGAGUAUAUAAUGUGGAUAGAAUAGUAAAACAAGAUUAACAGAAUUAUAUAAUGUGGAUAGUUCAAGACUCAAGAAGUGUUGAGAAAAUCAUGUUCUUGCACAAGAAUGAUAAAACAGAAAACAUAGUAUACAAAGAAAAAGGAGACAAAUCUGAAUAGUUCAACAAAUAUACGCAACUGUUAACUUCUUUCAACUCAUGAUCUUGUAAUCUGUGUGAUAUCCUAACAUGUCAUGUACACAGCUUCCAUCAUCUCUGGGUCUUCAGGAUAUACCCUCACUACAUGUCUUCUGGUAAGGAUCAGUGUCUGGCAACUUGGCAAGGCUGGUACCAUUCGUAUAUUUUACGAUGAUUCGGCUCCUCGGUACUUAAUUCAUAUAACUGGCCUAAACUGUACCACCCUUCCGAUCUCCACGUCUACCUAGGAUAUCCACAAGGACAGCAGAAAUUAAUUAGCUAGCACUAAAUAUAGCAUUUUACUUAAAUUCAUUAAAAGAAAGAAGCCCAAAAUAUAACAACAUACACAAAAUGUUUUGUGUUUUAUUAAAAGCCAUCUGAACGAUCAAAUGGUAGACGGUGAAAACAAAGCAGAAAGCACAUGAUGUUAUUAAAGAAAAAAGUCAGGUAAAAGAUAAAACAUUUGCCAAAGUCUUCAAAGACGGAUCUGAUCCACGAACAUAGAAGUCAUGUACUCCUUAAUUUUUCCUUGGGGAUCGGUGUAACCUUCAUAUCCAUUGUAGCAGACGUGG
RNAcentral lists this long non-coding RNA (5817 nucleotides) under Brassica napus (rape). Its description in RNAcentral is "long non-coding RNA (BNAP_LNC002905)". The record is from RNAcentral. Lineage: Eukaryota; Viridiplantae; Streptophyta; Magnoliopsida; Brassicales; Brassicaceae.